Molecule: long non-coding RNA, 609 nt
Organism: Amphimedon queenslandica
Lineage: Eukaryota; Metazoa; Porifera; Demospongiae; Haplosclerida; Niphatidae
Exons: 6
Source: RefSeq, a predicted model, not a curated record
UUGGAAAAUCGUUUGAAGACAGGGACCAGCCUGCUUUUCAUGUCGGAGAUCCGGUAGUUGGAAAAAUAUAUUUCCAAUGUCAGAUUCAUGCUCGUGAAUGGAUAUCUGGAGCAACUUGCAUGUACAUAGCUGACUCCUUAACUAAUAAUCCUGAUGGCUCAUCAAGGGUAAUGAUGGCUUAAGAUCAACACUUGUCAUAAAUGUAUUUGUAAAUUUCAAAUAUUCUGCAAAAUGUGAAAUUUAUAUUUGUUCCUCUUGUCAACCCUGAUGGAUAUGAAUAUACGUGGGAUGGAGAUCGUCUGUGGAGGAAGAAUAGACAAGUUAAUUCUGGAUCAAGUUGUAGAGGUGUAGAUCUGAACAGAAACUACAACGACCACUGGAAUGAGGGAGGUAGUUCAAGUAAUCCUUGCAGUGAGACAUAUCAUGGAAUUGGCCCUGCCUCUGAACCUGAAACAGACCACACACAAAACUACUUCAGAAACAAUGCUCCUAUUAUAGGUGCCAUUGACUGGCACUCUUAUAGUCAACUUAUACUACGACGAUACGGAUGGACAAAUCAAGAUUCUCCUGAUGAAGCCCAGUUGAAGGAGAUUGGUGAUGAAAUGAGUG